ACCUCCCCCUGGUGAACCCGUGCUGACUGUUUUUAGAGUGUUCUGUAGGGACUAUCCCUGACCCAUCAGCAAGUGAGGAGCUCUGCUUGGGGAGCACAGUGGGGAGAAAAGCUCAUUCCUCAGGAGCCAGGAAGGAUGGGGGGAAGCAGGCAAACAGCCCAAGCUACCUUGCUUUGCAGCAGUUUCCCCAGAUGCCCCAACCGUACACAGAAAGCAGUCAGAGGCUGUGCAGACCUCUCAUGCUUACUUUGCAUUUUCCAAGUGGAAGACUGGGCAUGAGUCCAAAGCCAUAAUCUGAGCAAGGGCAUGUCACAGCACACGCCGGAGGUGUAAUUAGAAUUAUAUGAUGAGUGGGUCUCUAUAAUACUAUCUGCUGUUCACCUACCAACGAUUUUCAAUUUAGCACCUAAUGCAUUGUAAGUAACACAAACUAAAAAGAAACACGCUUUCUAGGAAGCUUGUAUUUACUCUUAGUUACACGUUGCUUUUGUUUUGUUGUUUAUUUUUUCAAAUAACUCUGUUUUCCCAGUGGGAUUGAUUUGCAUGCAUGUGUGUCUGCUGCUCGUGAAAUGGAAUUGUAAUGUAUGACAGCACAGGAAUGUGGCCUAAGCAGAGAAUAACUCUUAAUUUCUUUGUUUCAAGUGUUCUUUAUCCAGAGGUCAGUGGAAGUCCAGUUCUCUUAAGGCACAGCACACCAAGAAUCAUUGCUGUGCUUUCCAGAGAAGCUGCGUGUAGGAGGGAAGUCUAAGAGCAAGGGCUGUUCUACCCAGAGAGCUGGAGAGGAAGGAAACCACCUCUUGCUGGGGCUUCGGCUCCCCAGCACAUGGCAUCAGCAUCCCUCUGGGCCCCAGCUCCUGUAUGCUGGUCACCAGGUGUGAGCGUAGGGCUGCUGAGGUCAUUUAGGUGCAUGCUAAGGAAAUGCCACUUGUCCAUCUUCCAGGAAAGGCUGUGGUCACCAAGUGCCUCCCACACUGCUCGUGUUUGCACACCCCAGCAGCCGCUCAGUCCUGCCUGUCGCAGUCACACUCCAGCUUGCCUUCUGGAUUUCCCUGGGAGUGUGUGCUCAUCCCUGACACAUGGUCUGUGAGCAGGGGAUUUCGCCUCCCUUUGCAAAGCUCCUUCUUCCCAAGCUGAGCAGAUUCCGGCUACUUCACGGCAACCUGCUGGACUUUGCUGUGCACCAUGCACCCAUGCCUUAGACUCAAAAGGUAAAUUUUAUGAAGUCUAGAAGUAAGGAAAUCAGGAGCUGUGGGAUUCCACUGGGGGUUAGAAGGGCUGUGUUGAUGCAGAAGCAGCAGAAAGCCAGAAGGAGCAAACAUUUUGCUGUCCAAGCUGCCAAAUUCCACCCCAGGCAUCCAUCUCUAUCAAAGACACCCAAGAGAAAGGAACUCCGUCCUUAUUAUUGCACUGAGGUGUGACUUCACCUCCAUCAGCUCCUUUUUGGUGGCUGCCAUCUGCCCUGGCUGGAGGUCACUGUGGCUGUCACUCCCUGCUGGGCCACCACCAUGGCUGCCAAGGGCCUCUGGGUCAGACGUGCCCUCAGUGCUGCAUUUGUUCCCUCGUGGUUUGUAUUUCUUUCUCAGAAUGCCACUUUUCUCAGCUGAAUUCCCAACAAAGAUGAAAAAAAAGCAAGAGAGAGCUUUCAAGUAACAUCUCAGCCUUUCUGCAUAGAGCAGCCAAUGUGAUGCAGGGCAAGGAGGCCUUUCCAUGGGGCUGCCCGAGGAGGCACCCAUACAGGAGGUCUCUGUGGGGACGGGGUGCCCAGGAACAGAAGUAGAAGGUCUGCAUCUUCAGCCUGGUCUAAAAAAUGGUGUUGGUUUACACUCGUUGGGCUUAGUCCUGAGGAACACCUUCUGAAAAUCAAAACCCUGAGAAAAGGAUUUCAAUUUCAGUCAACCCGAGAAAUGGUGAAUUCCGUCAUCUCUCCUGAAGUGUGACUGGCUCAUUUGGCAACACGUGCAAAAAUGUCUACUCCACAUGAUGCUGUAAAUUAACCAAUACUUGUUCUGGAACAGCUGAGGUCUCAUCAGGCCUUCCAAGACACAUUUCCAAUUAAAUUCAUUUUUGAUACUCAGAGCACAUCACAA
This is a long non-coding RNA of Phasianus colchicus (ring-necked pheasant), 2087 nucleotides long. The record is from Ensembl. Lineage: Eukaryota; Metazoa; Chordata; Aves; Galliformes; Phasianidae.